This 763-nucleotide long non-coding RNA is filed under the name Homo sapiens (human). RNAcentral describes it as "novel transcript". The record is from RNAcentral. Lineage: Eukaryota; Metazoa; Chordata; Mammalia; Primates; Hominidae.
UUUGCUGGAAAAGAAAACAGCAGAAGCCAAGGUAAAUAACAUCUUUGUGUGGCGUGUUGCAGCUGUCACAGCCGCCAGCAGACAGCCGACUCCCUCACCAGUAAACACCGCGGCUUAGGUGUUGCCCACCGGGCACCGGAAGGCGGCCCCCUUCUCGCUCUCCAGUGAAUGUUCCUAAAACAACUGCGGGGUCCAAGAGCACAGGGAGAACAGCGCCCCUGACGCAGGCUGCGCACCCGCCCGGAGGAGGCAGUGCGUCAGUCCUGAGGUCACCGCCACCCGCUCCCGGGGGACGGCCGCCUGGGCAGGUGAGGAGGCGACCACCUCCCAGACGCCUGCCGGAGCUGCGGCGCACCGACUCCCUGCUUCUCCGAGCGGCGAGCGCCACCUGGAGGCUCCCUCGAGAUCUGCAUUUAGGAGGCGACGGGUCCUUUCAUCGUUUUAUUCAUUAAACAUUUAUCGAGGCCUGGAGCGAUGGUUCAAGCCUGUAAUCCCAGCACUUUGGGAGACCGAGACGGGCGGAUCACUUGAGGUCAGGAGUUGGAGACCAGCCUGGCCAACAUGGCGAAACCCCAUCUCUACUAAAAAUACAAAAAUUAGCCGGGCACGGUGGCGCACACCUGUAAUCCCAGCUACUCAUGAUGAGGCUGAGGCACAAGAAUCGCUUGAACCCGAGAGGCGGAAGUUGCAGUGAGCGGAGAUGGAGCCACUGUGUGUUAGGCUCUGGCGACGUGGGGAGAAAUAAAGAUAAUGUCUUGUUUCC